RNAcentral lists this ribosomal RNA (429 nucleotides) under Chloroflexota bacterium. RNAcentral describes it as "Chloroflexi bacterium partial 16S ribosomal RNA". It matches the Rfam family "Bacterial small subunit ribosomal RNA", at positions 355 to 776 of the family's 1533-position model. Lineage: Bacteria; Bacillati; Chloroflexota. The record is from RNAcentral.
UGGGGAAUAUUGCACAAUGGGCGCAAGCCUGAUGCAGCCAUGCCGCGUGUAUGAAGAAGGCCUUCGGGUUGUAAAGUACUUUCAGCGGGGAGGAAGGGAGUAAAGUUAAUACCUUGGCUCAUUGACGUUACCCGCAGAAGAAGCACCGGCUAACUCCGUGCCAGCAGCCGCGGUAAUACGGAGGGUGCAAGCGUUAAUCGGAAUUACUGGGCGUAAAGCGCACGCAGGCGGUUGAUUGAGUCAGAGGUGAAAUCCCCGGGCUUAACCCGGGGAUUUCAUUUAGUACUGGUCAGCUAGAGUUUUUUAGCGGGGGGUAGGAUUCCAUGGGUUGCGGUGCAAUGCCCUGAGAUGUGGAGGUAUUCCUGGGGCCAAGGCGGGCCCCUGGACAAAGACUGACGCUCAGGUGCGAAAGCGUGGGGAGCAAACAGG